This 200-nucleotide ribosomal RNA is filed under the name uncultured bacterium. RNAcentral describes it as "partial 16S ribosomal RNA". It matches the Rfam family "Bacterial small subunit ribosomal RNA", at positions 28 to 221 of the family's 1533-position model. The record is from RNAcentral.
GAUGAACGCUAGCGGCAGGCUUAAUACAUGCAAGUCGUGGGGCAGCAUGGUGUAGCAAUACACUGAUGGCGACCGGCAAACGGGUGCGGAACACGUACGCAACCUUCCCAAAACUGGUGAAUAGCCCUCCGAAAGGGAGGAUUAAUACACCGUAACAUAAUGAAAUGGCAUCAUUUUAUUAUUAUAGCUCCGGUCGGUUU